This 23-nucleotide non-coding RNA is filed under the name Arabidopsis thaliana (thale cress). The record is from RNAcentral. Lineage: Eukaryota; Viridiplantae; Streptophyta; Magnoliopsida; Brassicales; Brassicaceae.
CAACUGAUGCAACUUCACAUAAU